UACGGAGGGUGCUAGCGUUAUCCGGAUUCACUGGGUUUAAAGGGAGCGCAGGCGGAUUUGUAAGUCAGUGGUGAAAGGCUUAAGCUUAACUUGGGAACUGCCAUUGAUACUAUAAGUCUUGAAUGUUGUUGAGGUUUGCGGAAUGGGUCAUGUAGCGGUGAAAUGCAUAGAUAUGACCCGGAACACCUAUUGCGAAGGCAGCAGGCUAAACAAAUAUUGACGCUGAGGCUCGAAAGCGUGGGGAUCAAACAGG
This 253-nucleotide ribosomal RNA is filed under the name uncultured bacterium. Its description in RNAcentral is "partial 16S ribosomal RNA". It matches the Rfam family "Bacterial small subunit ribosomal RNA", at positions 524 to 776 of the family's 1533-position model. The record is from RNAcentral.